RNAcentral lists this ribosomal RNA (492 nucleotides) under uncultured bacterium. Its description in RNAcentral is "partial 16S ribosomal RNA". It matches the Rfam family "Bacterial small subunit ribosomal RNA", at positions 29 to 507 of the family's 1533-position model. The record is from RNAcentral.
AGUGAACGCUGGCGGUAGGCCUAACACAUGCAAGUCGAACGGCAGCACAGUAAGAGCUUGCUCUUACGGGUGGCGAGUGGCGGACGGGUGAGGAAUACAUCGGAAUCUACUUUUUCGUGGGGGAUAACGUAGGGAAACUUACGCUAAUACCGCAUACGACCUACGGGUGAAAGCAGGGGAUCUUCGGACCUUGCGCGAUUGAAUGAGCCGAUGUCGGAUUAGCUAGUUGGCGGGGUAAAGGCCCACCAAGGCAACGAUCCGUAGCUGGUCUGAGAGGAUGAUCGGCCACACUGGAACUGAGACACGGUCCAGACUCCUACGGGAGGCAGCAGUGGGGAAUAUUGGGCAAUGGGCGCAAGCCUGAUCCAGCCAUACCGCGUGAGUGAAGAAGGCCUUCGGGUUGUAAAGCCCUUUUGUUGGGAAAGAAAAGCAGCAGGUUAAUACCCCGCUGUUCUGACGGUACCCAAAGAAUAAGCACCGGCUAACUUCGUG